UUGUCCUUUCUUUUUAUUAAACUAAAUUAUAUUUCUUUGCGAUUGCCGACCGGUGAAAACCCUAGAAAACCCAUCGGCGUAGGGAUUGUCUUCGUCCGGUCAUUUCCCGCCAAAAGAAUCGACAUUCAAGAGGGAUCGGCGUGUAAUGCUGAAAUGGAGGGUAACUGAGUAUGGGGAUAAUACGGAGUAGUUUCUCUUUUCUACUGGGAACCGGCUGUGGUAUUUACAUUGCUCAAAAUUGCAAUGUCCCUGACAUAAAAAAAAAGCUUGUCAACACAUGGAUGUUUGUGGCGAAGACAAUUGAAGAAGCCUACAGGAAGCCUACUUUUAAUCUUUUGUAUAGAUGCCAUCAGAUAUGGAGAUACAUUUGAAGAGAUUCACAGCUAGAGUGAUUUUGUGGCUAUUGUAUGCCUUCUCCUGAUGUCUGGUUCAUACAUCAGCCUCCCAGUUGCGGACACCUAUAUCAGCAUGGGCUUGGCAUCUUGUGGGGAUGUAUUUAAAAUUAAACAUGAUAUAGGGGAUCAAUAUCAGGAAAGCCUUUUAUCAUUAUACAAAUGAGAAAAAUUUCUGCAUGUUUGAUCGUCCUUGUUAUGAGAGUAGUAACAGUGGAAGAGAAAUGUCCUGAACCUUAACAGGAGAAACAAAACUCUGUUGUUACUCUGAGCAUAUGGAAAUUGUAUGCCUGUUGCAAAAGAAACAUCUUUUAGGGGACCUGUAUCAAAACAAUCAUGAUACUGGGGACCAAUACAGUAAAAGACCUUUAUUAUAGACGAAUGAGAAACAACAAUUCCGUAUGUGUGUUUAUCCUCAUUAUGAGAGUAGUACUAAUAGUGGAAGAGAAAUGUCCUGAACCCAACAGGAGAAAGAAAACUCUGUUGUUACUCUUGACUUUAUAGAAUUUGCAUCCUUGUUGAAGAUUGUGAUGAGAUCUGUUCCAACUGCUAUUGUGCAAUGCAAAUUUCACUCAGUUUCCUGCAUUUCACCAGUUCGUCUCGUGUAAGGUUACACCAUUUUGAUAGAUGUGUCUGCAUGACCUCCUUUAGUCGAUCGAUCAUUAUGAUCUGCUACUAGCCAAAAAAUCCUAGACUUUCCAGAUUUCACAAUGUCCUCCUUAAAUUGUUCUGACAAUUACAUUGGAAUUCUCAUUUGUAGGUAGUUCUUCUGAUAUUUGAAUUCACUCUAGAGAUAAACUUCGCUGAGUCCAGAAGGAUUUGGAGUUGAACCCUUCCUAUAUCCCUGUCCUAUAGGGUUUAUAUGUAUAUGUGCGUGCUCGCGUGAAUAUGCAGUAGCAUUGCGGGGGUUAGAUCUACAGUUGAGCUAGGCAAAUUAACAUUCAGAUCAUCAGCAUGCAGAUACUACUGGAGGAGAGAAGGUUCAUGGAGAAGACCCCAUCAAAGCUAGCCCAGAGGUCCUCGCCGCUGUAGCUGAACUCCUCCUCCUCGUCGGUGGUGGCGAGCGUCGUUGCCGGAAUUUUCAGACCACCGGUUCC
RNA transcript from Asparagus officinalis (garden asparagus), 1489 nucleotides. RefSeq lists it as uncharacterized. NCBI's taxonomy places the organism in Eukaryota, Viridiplantae, Streptophyta, Magnoliopsida, Asparagales, Asparagaceae. The transcript is spliced from 5 exons. The record is from RefSeq and is a predicted model, not a curated record.